Molecule: ribosomal RNA, 463 nt
Filed under: Clostridioides difficile
Lineage: Bacteria; Bacillati; Bacillota; Clostridia; Peptostreptococcales; Peptostreptococcaceae
Description: partial 23S ribosomal RNA
Rfam family: Bacterial large subunit ribosomal RNA
Source: RNAcentral
AUCCUGCGCCGAAGAUUUCCGGGGCUAAAACUUACUACCGAAGCUACGGCAUCAGUAAUGAUGGGUAGGGGAGCUUCCCAUACGGGUUGAAGCAUGACCGUAAGGACAUGUGGACAGUAUGGGAGUGAGAAUGUUGGCAUGAGUAGCGAGAUGUGGGUGAGAAUCCCACAGGCCGUAAACCCAAGGUUUCCAGGGGAAGGUUCGUCCGCCCUGGGUUAGUCGGGACCUAAGCUGAGGCCGAAAGGCGUAGGUGAUGGACAACAGGUUGAUAUUCCUGUACUACCGAUAACCGUUUGAGAGAAGGGAUGACACAGUAGGAUAAGCUAAGCACACUGUUGGUUAUGUGUGCCCAAGCAUUGAGGCAGUCAAAGUAGGCAAAUCCGCUUUGAUAAUGCUGGGAUGUGAUGGGGAGCGAAAUUUAGUAGCGAAGUAGCUGAUUUCACACUGUCAAGAAAAGUCUCUA